GGGCGCUUAGCUCAGUUGGCAAGAGCGCUUCCCUUACAAGGAAGAAGUCGGGGGUUCGAGUCCCUCAGCGCCCACCA
Molecule: transfer RNA, 77 nt
Filed under: Actinobacteria bacterium RBG_16_67_15
Lineage: Bacteria; Bacillati; Actinomycetota
Also listed under: 2 other names
Description: tRNA-Val
Rfam family: tRNA
About the family: Transfer RNA (tRNA) molecules are approximately 80 nucleotides in length. Their secondary structure includes four short double-helical elements and three loops (D, anti-codon, and T loops).
Source: RNAcentral